RNAcentral lists this ribosomal RNA (433 nucleotides) under uncultured bacterium. RNAcentral describes it as "partial 16S ribosomal RNA". It matches the Rfam family "Bacterial small subunit ribosomal RNA", at positions 29 to 507 of the family's 1533-position model. The record is from RNAcentral.
AACGAACGCUGGCGGCAUGCCUAACACAUGCAAGUCGAACGAGACCUUCGGGUCUAGUGGCGCACGGGUGCGUAACGCGUGGGAACGUGCCCUUAGGUUCGGAAUAACUCCCCGAAAGGGGUGCUAAUACCGGAUAAUGUCUUCGGACCAAAGAUUUAUCGCCUUUGGAUGGGCCCGCGUUGGAUUAGCUAGUUGGUAGGGUAAAAGCCUACCAAGGCGACGAUCCGUAGCUGGUCUGAGAGGAUGAUCAGCCACACUGGGACUGAGACACGGCCCAGACUCCUACGGGAGGCAGCAGUGGGGAAUAUUGCACAAUGGGCGAAAGCCUGAUCCAGCAAUGCCGCGUGAGUGAUGAAGGCCUUAGGGUUGUAAAGCUCUUUUACCCGGGAUGAUAAUGACAGUACCGGGAGAAUAAGCCCCGGCUAACUCCGUG